CCUACGGGUGGCAGCAGUGGGGAAUAUUGGACAAUGGGGGGAACCCUGAUCCAGCCAUGCCGCGUGUGUGAAGAAGGCCCUCGGGUUGUAAAGCACUUUCAGUGAGGAAGAACGCCUGGUGGUUAAUACCCAUCAGGAAAGACAUCACUCACAGAAGAAGCACCGGCUAACUCCGUGCCAGCAGCCGCGGUAAUACGGAGGGUGCGAGCGUUAAUCGGAAUUACUGGGCGUAAAGCGCGCGUAGGUCGCUUGAUAAGCCGGUUGUGAAAGCCCCGGGCUCAACCUGGGAACGGCAUCCGGAACUGUCAAGGUAGAGUGCAGGAGAGGAAGGUAGAAUUCCCGGGGGAGCGGUGAAAUGCGUAGAGAUCGGGAGGAAUACCAGUGGCGAAGGCGGCCUUCUGGACUGGCACUGACACUGAGGUGCGAAAGCGUGGGUAGCAAACAGGAUUAGAUACCCCAGUAGUC
This 465-nucleotide ribosomal RNA is filed under the name Vreelandella stevensii. RNAcentral's name for it is "partial 16S ribosomal RNA". It matches the Rfam family "Bacterial small subunit ribosomal RNA", at positions 338 to 795 of the family's 1533-position model. The record is from RNAcentral. Lineage: Bacteria; Pseudomonadati; Pseudomonadota; Gammaproteobacteria; Oceanospirillales; Halomonadaceae.